UGGGGAAUAUUGCACAAUGGGCGCAAGCCUGAUGCAGCCAUGCCGCGUGUAUGAAGAAGGCCUUCGGGUUGUAAAGUACUUUCAGCGGGGAGGAAGGGAGUAAAGUUAAUACCUUUGCUCAUUGACGUUACCCGCAGAAGAAGCAGCGGCUAACUCCGUGCCAGCAGCCGCGGUAAUACGGAGGGUGCAAGCGUUAAUCGGAAUUACUGGGCGUAAAGCGCACGCAGGCGGUUUGUUAAGUCAGAUGUGAAAUCCCCGGGCUCAACCUGGGAACUGCAUCUGAUACUGGCAAGCUUGAGUCUCGUAGAGGGGGGUAGAAUUCCAGGUGUAGCGGUGAAAUGCGUAGAGAUCUGGAGGAAUACCGGUGGCGAAGGCGGCCCCCUGGACGAAGACUGACGCUCAGGUGCGAAAGCGUGGGGAGCAAACAGG
This 429-nucleotide ribosomal RNA is filed under the name Chloroflexota bacterium. RNAcentral's name for it is "Chloroflexi bacterium partial 16S ribosomal RNA". It matches the Rfam family "Bacterial small subunit ribosomal RNA", at positions 355 to 776 of the family's 1533-position model. Lineage: Bacteria; Bacillati; Chloroflexota. The record is from RNAcentral.